RNAcentral lists this ribosomal RNA (253 nucleotides) under uncultured bacterium. RNAcentral describes it as "partial 16S ribosomal RNA". It matches the Rfam family "Bacterial small subunit ribosomal RNA", at positions 524 to 776 of the family's 1533-position model. The record is from RNAcentral.
UACGUAGGGUGCAAGCGUUAAUCGGAAUUACUGGGCGUAAAGCGUGCGCAGGCGGUUGUGCAAGACAGAUGUGAAAUCCCCGGGCUCAACCUGGGAACUGCAUUUGUGACUGCACGGCUAGAGUGUGUCAGAGGGGGGUAGAAUUCCACGUGUAUCAGUGAAAUGCGUAGAUAUGUGGAGGAAUACCGAUGGCGAAGGCAGCCCCCUGGGAUAACACUGACGCUCAUGCACGAAAGCGUGGGGAGCAAACAGG